RNAcentral lists this transfer RNA (81 nucleotides) under marine eukaryotic metagenome. It matches the Rfam family "tRNA". Rfam says of the family: Transfer RNA (tRNA) molecules are approximately 80 nucleotides in length. Their secondary structure includes four short double-helical elements and three loops (D, anti-codon, and T loops). The record is from RNAcentral.
GAGGGAUGGCCGAGUGGUUGAAGGCGGCGGUCUUGAAAACCGUUGAGCGAAAGUUCCGGGGGUUCGAAUCCCUCUCCCUCC